Molecule: ribosomal RNA, 1113 nt
Filed under: Vibrio sp. 7836M
Lineage: Bacteria; Pseudomonadati; Pseudomonadota; Gammaproteobacteria; Vibrionales; Vibrionaceae
Description: bacterial SSU rRNA
Rfam family: Bacterial small subunit ribosomal RNA
Source: RNAcentral
GCCUGAUGCGCCCAGCCGCGUGUGUGAAGAAGGCCUUCGGGUUGUAAAGCACUUUCAGUCGUGAGGAAGGUUCAUGCGUUAAUAGCGUAUGGAUUUGACGUUAGCGACAGAAGAAGCACCGGCUAACUCCGUGCCAGCAGCCGCGGUAAUACGGAGGGUGCGAGCGUUAAUCGGAAUUACUGGGCGUAAAGCGCAUGCAGGUGGUUCGUUAAGUCAGAUGUGAAAGCCCGGGGCUCAACCUCGGAACUGCAUUUGAAACUGGCGGACUAGAGUACUGUAGAGGGGGGUAGAAUUUCAGGUGUAGCGGUGAAAUGCGUAGAGAUCUGAAGGAAUACCGGUGGCGAAGGCGGCCCCCUGGACAGAUACUGACACUCAGAUGCGAAAGCGUGGGGAGCAAACAGGAUUAGAUACCCUGGUAGUCCACGCCGUAAACGAUGUCUACUUGGAGGUUGUGGCCUUGAGCCGUGGCUUUCGGAGCUAACGCGUUAAGUAGACCGCCUGGGGAGUACGGUCGCAAGAUUAAAACUCAAAUGAAUUGACGGGGGCCCGCACAAGCGGUGGAGCAUGUGGUUUAAUUCGAUGCAACGCGAAGAACCUUACCUACUCUUGACAUCUAGAGAAGCCAGCGGAGACGCAGGUGUGCCUUCGGGAACUCUAAGACAGGUGCUGCAUGGCUGUCGUCAGCUCGUGUUGUGAAAUGUUGGGUUAAGUCCCGCAACGAGCGCAACCCUUAUCCUUGUUUGCCAGCGAGUAAUGUCGGGAACUCCAGGGAGACUGCCGGUGAUAAACCGGAGGAAGGUGGGGACGACGUCAAGUCAUCAUGGCCCUUACGAGUAGGGCUACACACGUGCUACAAUGGCGCAUACAGAGGGCUGCCAACCAGCGAUGGUGAGCGAAUCCCAAAAAGUGCGUCGUAGUCCGGAUUGGAGUCUGCAACUCGACUCCAUGAAGUCGGAAUCGCUAGUAAUCGUGAAUCAGAAUGUCACGGUGAAUACGUUCCCGGGCCUUGUACACACCGCCCGUCACACCAUGGGAGUGGGCUGCAAAAGAAGUGGGUAGUUUAACCUUUCGAGGAGGACGCUCACCACUUUGUGGUCAUGACUGGGUGACGCU